UCCAUAUCAUGGGAGCAAAAAACAAGGG
RNAcentral lists this non-coding RNA (28 nucleotides) under Rattus norvegicus (Norway rat). The record is from RNAcentral. Lineage: Eukaryota; Metazoa; Chordata; Mammalia; Rodentia; Muridae.